CCAUGGCCAACACUUAAGGUAGGGAGUGCAAACUGGCUUCACAUCCUGCUCAUCAAAGUCAUAUCUUGACUGGCAGUCCCGAUGAGCGAGUAAGGCACACGGAGGUUUUUGUUUUAGUACGUAGGCAUAGUUCCACUAGGGAUUAUGAAUCGUGCAUGCCACAUAUGGACGGUAGGUGGUAUCUUUAGAAGAUUAUAAUUUCCGUAC
Regulatory RNA element from Drosophila sechellia, 207 nucleotides. It matches the Rfam family "R2 RNA element". Rfam says of the family: This family represents the 3' UTR region of the R2 retrotransposable element. The record is from Rfam. NCBI's taxonomy places the organism in Eukaryota, Metazoa, Arthropoda, Insecta, Diptera, Drosophilidae.